Entelurus aequoreus (snake pipefish) is the source of this 1354-nucleotide long non-coding RNA. RefSeq lists it as uncharacterized. The transcript is spliced from 3 exons. The record is from RefSeq and is a predicted model, not a curated record. NCBI's taxonomy places the organism in Eukaryota, Metazoa, Chordata, Actinopteri, Syngnathiformes, Syngnathidae.
GGCAAGUAAAAAGACUGCAGCUGAGUGAAAAAGUACAAGAGACAAUUCAAGUUGCCAGACGAUGACGUCAGACACACCCUGGACUCUGCCAUUGGACAGCUCGCCACCACGUGACCAAAGCAGCCUCCUGGUUGGACCAGAAUGAAGUGUUUGGAUGAUUGCUGGACCUUCUGCAGUCUCACUGCUGUGCAGAUUUGGACCUCAGGGUCAGAAAGUGCAACAUUCCUGCCACUCAGGAGCAAUAAUCCCAUGGAUGAUUAUGGACAGGCAUUUUGGAGCAAUGUGAAGCAGAAGCAGAGAACGGCCUACAAAAAACAUGCAGCAACAACAUUAAUUUGGUUGCAGAAGCCCAGGAUGAGGCACAAGAAGAAGCAUGGGAGCAAGAAUGCUACCCAGUGGUCUUCAUGGAACUCUCCACCAACCUCCAACUCCUGCUGUCCUGACUCCCAAUAUCAUGGAUUAUUUCCCUCUGUCUCAUUGUGAGGCCUUCAUUGAUCCAUAUAUCCAAUCAGACUUGGCCAAUUAUAUUCCUGUUCAAGCCCCGAUCAUCAUCACCAAAUUCCAAAACGGUCCCAGGGCCCGUUAGUGGCCGUCUUAUGUAAAAAAUACAUUUACUUUUACUCAUUAGUUUGAAUCCCACAGCACACCGUAGUAUUUUAGUUCAAAAACUGUCCAUGAACAUUACAGUGAAUCUGCAGCUCCUCUUGAGCACAGCAUGCAAAAAAAACCCACAACGGCAUAUUUGUGUGGGUGUUUCGAGUAAUGUUGCAUGCUUAAAUCAAUGGGAUAGUUGUCCUAUUUAAUGUCACUUUAUGCUUCUUUUCUGUAUUAUGCACUGUAAAAUGAAUGUAGUGAAUGUUGUAAAUUAUUUUGUAAAAUGCAACAAUCCUUUGGUACAGAUCUUGGUUGUUAAUUUCUCAACAUGCCUAAUGAAUGCGCUCCCUGAUAAUGACUUUUACUUCCACCACUAUUCUGUGAAAUAUUGCCAGGUUGCAUCCUGAAAAGGUAACAACUUUCCGAUUAGGAAUGCUUCGACAAAGCUCUUCACAAUUGUGCAUUCAGGUUGCACAGUCCAGCAACAGAAAGCGUCUCCCUUGCUGCCCCCUCCAAGUUCCCCACCAUUAAUCAUGGAGCCUUUCUAACACUCCAACCACGAGUUCUAAACCCACUGGGCACCAUGACAGGAAUCCUCGCCUCCUACUUCCCGAGCCUCGCCAAUACAAAAGCCAAAUUGAGGUGCUGCAAGUCAGGGCUGGCCUCCCUCUCUUGAGGAGUGGGGGGCAUGUUAGCUUUCCGAAGCCACAACAAUCCAGAGUGUCAGCCGCUAAUGACAGCAUAUUUUGCUAAAGAAACA